GACGAACGCUGGCGGCGUGCUUAACACAUGCAAGUCGAACGGAAAGGCCCUGCUUUUGUGGGGUGCUCGAGUGGCGAACGGGUGAGUAACACGUGAGUAACCUGCCCUUGACUUUGGGAUAACUUCAGGAAACUGGGGCUAAUACCGGAUAGGAGCUCCUGCUGCAUGGUGGGGGUUGGAAAGUUUCGGCGGUUGGGGAUGGACUCGCGGCUUAUCAGCUUGUUGGUGGGGUAGUGGUUUACCAAGGCUUUGACGGGUAGCCGGCCUGAGAGGGUGACCGGCCACAUUGGGACUGAGAUACGGCCCAGACUCCUACGGGAGGCAGCAGUGGGGAAUAUUGCACAAUGGGCGGAAGCCUGAUGCAGCAACGCCGCGUGCGGGAUGACGGCCUUCGGGUUGUAAACCGCUUUCGCCUGUGACGAAGCGUGAGUGACGGUAAUGGGUAAAGAAGCACCGGCCAACUACGUG
This 468-nucleotide ribosomal RNA is filed under the name uncultured bacterium. Its description in RNAcentral is "partial 16S ribosomal RNA". It matches the Rfam family "Bacterial small subunit ribosomal RNA", at positions 28 to 507 of the family's 1533-position model. The record is from RNAcentral.